This 560-nucleotide ribosomal RNA is filed under the name uncultured bacterium. Its description in RNAcentral is "bacterial SSU rRNA". It matches the Rfam family "Bacterial small subunit ribosomal RNA", at positions 65 to 655 of the family's 1533-position model. The record is from RNAcentral.
AACGAAGGCCCGGGGCUUGCCCCGGUCACCUUAGUGGCGAACGGGUGAGUAACGCGUGGGAACCUGCCCAGGAGCGGGGAAUAACCUCGGGAAACUGAGGCUAAUACCGCAUACGCCCUCCGGGGGAAAGGCUUCGGCCACUCUUGGAUGGUCCCGCGUCUGAUUAGCUUGUUGGUGAGGUAACGGCUCACCAAGGCGACGAUCAGUAGCUGGUCUGAGAGGACGGUCAGCCACACUGGGACUGGGACACGGCCCAGACUCCUACGGGAGGCAGCAGUGGGGAAUAUUGGACAAUGGGCGAAAGCCUGAUCCAGCAAUGCCGCGUGAGUGAAGAAGGCCCUAGGGUUGUAAAACUCUUUCAGUCGUGAUGAUGAUGACGGUAGCGACAGAAGAAGCUCCGGCUAACUCCGUGCCAGCAGCCGCGGUAAUACGGAGGGGGCUAGCGUUGUUCGGAAUUACUGGGCGUAAAGCGCACGUAGGCGGUGUAUCUAGUCAGAGGUGAAAGGCCUGGGCUCAACCUGGGAACUGCCUUUGAUACUGAUACGCUCGAGAGCGGGAGA